RNAcentral lists this long non-coding RNA (411 nucleotides) under Brassica napus (rape). RNAcentral's name for it is "long non-coding RNA (BNAP_LNC023783)". Lineage: Eukaryota; Viridiplantae; Streptophyta; Magnoliopsida; Brassicales; Brassicaceae. The record is from RNAcentral.
AACAAUGCAGCUUCUAUUGAAUGCACUACAACGUCUAUAUAGACAAGAAUUAUCUCAUCUAAAAAGCAAUGUUUACUCCCUAGAAUAAGGAAUGAAAUGGUUGGUAAAGUGAAUAAUAUGUUAAUUUGCUUAGACGGUGAACAAAAAAAAUAUUUGUGUUCUGAUAGUAUAGGUAACGACAAAGAAGAAAUUACAAAUCAGCAUAUUCUGUAUCCCCCAGAUUUUUAAGUACGUUAAAAUUUUCACGGAUUCCAAAUCACCAAAUUGAUCUCAAAAUAGAUGUUCCAGUAAUGUUAUUAAGACAUUUAAAUCAACAAAAAGAAAUAAUACUAAUAACCAGCCUAGACAACAUGAUUACGGAAGCAGAAAUCCCAACUGAUAAUCAACAGAUUCUUAUUCCCAAAAUAAGUC